Pelobates cultripes (western spadefoot toad) is the source of this 822-nucleotide non-coding RNA. The record is from the annotation of a GenBank genome assembly. Lineage: Eukaryota; Metazoa; Chordata; Amphibia; Anura; Pelobatidae.
GACACAAUUACCAAACACAAGGUGGUGCUACAGCAGCAUUAUUAUUAGUCCAUAAUACAAAAUAAAACAACAGUCUCCUUUAAACCUUUAAGUGUCUUUAAUCCUCAUAUUUGCAGCAGUAAACUCACACAAAUUCUCAGACAAUCAAGUAUAAAAUAAUCUGGUGGCAUUCUUUAAAAUGUACAGCCCCUCUGAAAGCAGUUCUCAGGACUGAUGUCCAGAUUUUCUUCUAAGCAAAUACCACUAGAUCUUUGGAUAUUUCUUCUUUCUAAACAGACUCUACAUACCAGAAAAAAAAAUUACCUGUCCCAAUAUACAACUGGCAACUAGCUAUAGCCUUCCUUUACAUUACUCCACAAAUCCCUUCUAUGUGGAUGGUCUUCACUCUUAAAAAAUAUGCAAGAAAAAUGGAAAAGCUUAUGACUUUCUUGCAUGGUUCUUCAAGGACCUUCCUCCAGAAGGUCCAAGAGACCUAUAGUUGCUGCAUCUUGCUUCCGUAUGGCAAACUAAUGGAUUCCUUUGGAUUUCAUUAUCACCAGUAUGAUGAUGGCACACUUUCACGUACUUCCUUGUUUCUCUCUGCUCCAGACCCGUUCUCUACUACAUUGUGUUAGUCACCUAUUUACUAAGCUUAAUACCUUUACUACUCUAAUCUCUAAUAUAGACUCCUAAAAGUCUGCCAUCUGUCUCCACCUUAUGCAGUGGAAAUUGGUUCUCAGGGGCAAGUGGGCCAAUUUGUUCAUUAAAAAAAAAAAAUCAAAUCCAUUGACAUAAUAUCAUACUACAUGCAAAAAAAUAACUAUAAAUAUUGACAAACUGUAU